CCUACGGGUGGCAGCAGUGGGGAAUAUUGCACAAUGGGGGAAACCCUGAUGCAGCGACGCCGCGUGAGUGAAGAAGUAUUUCGGUAUGUAAAGCUCUAUCAGCAGGGAAGAAGAAAGACGGUACCUGACUAAGAAGCCCCGGCUAACUACGUGCCAGCAGCCGCGGUAAUACGUAGGGGGCAAGCGUUAUCCGGAUUUACUGGGUGUAAGGGGAGCGUAGACGGCUGUGCAAGUCUGAAGUGAAAGCCCCGGGCUCAACCCGGGGACUGCUUUGGAAACUGUGGAGCUAGAGUGCUGGAGAGGUAAGUGGAAUUCCUAGUGUAGCGGUGAAAUGCGUAGAUAUUAGGAGGAACACCAGUGGCGAAGGCGGCUUACUGGACAGUAACUGACGUUGAGGCUCGAAAGCGUGGGGAGCAAACAGGAUUAGAUACCCUUGUAGUC
RNAcentral lists this ribosomal RNA (441 nucleotides) under uncultured bacterium. RNAcentral describes it as "partial 16S ribosomal RNA". It matches the Rfam family "Bacterial small subunit ribosomal RNA", at positions 338 to 795 of the family's 1533-position model. The record is from RNAcentral.